CUACGGGAGGCACCAGUGGGGAAUAUUGCACAAUGGGCGCAAGCCUGAUGCAGCAACGCCGCGUGAGGGAUGAAGGCCUUCGGGUUGUAAACCUCUUUUAGCAGGGAAGAAGCGAAAGUGACGGUACCUGCAGAAAAAGCACCGGCUAACUACGUGCCAGCAGCCGCGGUAAUACGUAGGGUGCAAGCGUUGUCCGGAAUUAUUGGGCGGAAAGAGCUCGUAGGCGGUUUGUCGCGUCUGCUGUGAAAAUCCAAGGCUCAACCUUGGACUUGCAGUGGGUACGGGCAGGCUAGAGUGCGGUAGGGGAGAUGGGAAUUCCUGGUGUAGCGGUGGUAUGCGCAGAUAUCAGGAGGAACACCAAUGGCGAAGGCACAUCUCUGGGCCGUAACUGACGCUGAGGAGCGAAAGCGUGGGGAGCGAACAGGAUUAGAUACCCUAGUAGUC
This 444-nucleotide ribosomal RNA is filed under the name uncultured bacterium. Its description in RNAcentral is "partial 16S ribosomal RNA". It matches the Rfam family "Bacterial small subunit ribosomal RNA", at positions 339 to 795 of the family's 1533-position model. The record is from RNAcentral.